CUCAGCUACUCACACGCUCUACAUAUAGGCAUUGAGCACCACUAUAUCUGAGGCCCCGUCUUCAUGCUGGGACCUGUUGAUGGGGUCGUACAAAGCUCCCAUCCUCAGCACGUUCACAUGAUGACGAUGAAGCACUUCUGGAGCACCCGAUUAAUCUUCCCAGUACUCUUGUGUGUAGGUAAGUAUAAAUUUUUGCUUAUAGUUGAAGAAACGGAAACAUGAGGUGAUUAAACUAUU
Molecule: long non-coding RNA, 237 nt
Filed under: Fukomys damarensis (Damara mole-rat)
Lineage: Eukaryota; Metazoa; Chordata; Mammalia; Rodentia; Bathyergidae
Description: lncRNA (ENSFDAG00000029507.1)
Source: RNAcentral